UACAGAGGUCCCGAGCGUUGUUCGGAUUCAUUGGGCGUAAAGGGUGCGUAGGCGGCGGGGUAAGUUUGCUGUGAAAUCCCGGGGCUCAACCCUGGAAUUGCAUUGAAUACUACCUUGCUAGAGUACCGGAGAGGAAACUGGAAUUUACGGUGUAGCAGUGAAAUGCGUAGAGAUCGUAAGGAAGACCAGUGGCGAAGGCGAGUUUCUGGACGGUAACUGACGCUGAGGCACGAAGGCCAGGGGAGCAAACGGG
This 253-nucleotide ribosomal RNA is filed under the name uncultured bacterium. RNAcentral's name for it is "partial 16S ribosomal RNA". It matches the Rfam family "Bacterial small subunit ribosomal RNA", at positions 524 to 776 of the family's 1533-position model. The record is from RNAcentral.